UACGAGGGGGGCGAGCGUUGUUCGGAAUUAUUGGGCGUAAAGAGCUCGUAGGCGGUCUGUCGCGUCGGCUGUGAAAACUCGGGGCUCAACCCCGAGCCUGCAGUCGAUACGGGCAGACUAGAGUGCUGUAGGGGAGACUGGAAUUCCUGGUGUAGCGGUGAAAUGCGCAGAUAUCAGGAGGAACACCGGUGGCGAAGGCGGGUCUCUGGGCAGUAACUGACGCUGAGGAGCGAAAGCGUGGGGAGCGAACAGG
RNAcentral lists this ribosomal RNA (253 nucleotides) under uncultured bacterium. Its description in RNAcentral is "partial 16S ribosomal RNA". It matches the Rfam family "Bacterial small subunit ribosomal RNA", at positions 524 to 776 of the family's 1533-position model. The record is from RNAcentral.